RNAcentral lists this ribosomal RNA (548 nucleotides) under uncultured Glomus. Its description in RNAcentral is "SSU rRNA". It matches the Rfam family "Eukaryotic small subunit ribosomal RNA", at positions 548 to 1098 of the family's 1831-position model. Lineage: Eukaryota; Fungi; Glomeromycota; Glomeromycetes; Glomerales; Glomeraceae. The record is from RNAcentral.
UUGGAGGGCAAGUCUGGUGCCAGCAGCCGCGGUAAUUCCAGCUCCAAUAGCGUAUAUUAAAGUUGUUGCAGUUAAAAAGCUCGUAGUUGAAUUUCGGGAUCAAUAUGCCGGUCAUGCCUUGGUAUGCACUGGUAUCUUUGAUUUCUCCCUUCUGACGAACUUUGAUGUCGUUAAUUUGGUGUCAUAGGGAAUCAGGACUGUUACUUUGAAAAAAUUAGAGUGUUUAAAGCAAGCUCACGCUUGAAUACAUUAGCAUGGAAUAAUGAAAUAGGACGUUUGAUUCUAUUUUGUUGGUUUCUAGGAUCGACGUAAUGAUUAAUAGGGAUAGUUGGGGGCAUUAGUAUUCAAUUGUCAGAGGUGAAAUUCUUGGAUUUAUUGAAGACUAACUACUGCGAAAGCAUUUGCCAAGGAUGUUUUCAUUAAUCAAGAACGAAAGUUAGGGGAUCGAAGACGAUCAGAUACCGUCGUAGUCUUAACCAUAAACUAUGCCGACUAGGGAUCGGAUGAUGUUAAUUUUUUAAUGACUCAUUCGGCGCCUUACGGGAAAC